This is a non-coding RNA of Thamnophis sirtalis, 1818 nucleotides long. The record is from RefSeq and is a predicted model, not a curated record. Lineage: Eukaryota; Metazoa; Chordata; Lepidosauria; Squamata; Natricidae.
AAGGCCAGCCCUGGUGUAAAGUUCAAUCCAAACGCCCAGAUAUGUAGGCAAUUUUUCCCCUUGAUGUCUUCUUUAUCAAUUACAGUGGUACCAAUGAUAGCUCUGCAGAUGCAUACAGGUAGAUGCAUACAGAUGUAAAGAAAAAAGAAUUCAAUUCAUUGAUUAAAUUUCCCAUAGAGACAAUUCCUGUAGAGAUUUAUGGAGAUGGUCUUGAGGGGAAUAUUCAGCAGCCAUCUCUCACACCCAGAAAAAAAGGACAGAAGCAAUCCUUAAAGUAUGGUAAAAAAGGUAAUAUUUGGAAGACAUUCAGGCUGGCUCCUUGACUCACUAAAUGGGAGGAGAGGAAAAACACAAUCAGAUUUGCAAGAUUCUGUUAAUAUAGUUUAUAAGGUUUUAUAGGCUUAAAAAAAAAAUCAAAUUUUUAUAUGUUGAAAUACAAAAUCGGACUGUAUCGUUUUUUAAAAAAACUUACUACUGCUUUUGAAAAUGAUAGAAAUUUGAAAAGUAUGGACUAGCAAUCAGCUACUUUGUAGUCCAAAUGAUCUUUUCGAUUUGCCAGUUCUUUCCAUAAAUUGUUGCUUCAUUUUUCACAAGGUGUUGCUGGUGCCCCAUAGCAGAUAACUGCCAGCAGAAAUAGGUCUUUCUGCCAGAAAAUAUUGAGCGAGCCAGAUUGCUGAUGUUUGGGAAAUUGUAACUGAUAUACUUUUAGUAUCCCACUUCUUUAGUAAAUAAAGUUUACUAAAUGUGGUUAUUUUCACAAAUAAUAUCUGCAGCAAUAUCCAGGUCUUUCUAUUAGUUGGAUCAGGUUACUCAAAAUCACAAUCCAGAUGAAAUAGGUUAACUGAAGCCUUAGUGAACCUAUUGGGCAAUGCAUAGGAUUUCACUAUGGCUAGAAGGCAUCCAGGUGAAAAAGCUGACCUAUUAAAAACUGGUCUGGUCUGAAAAUCUUUCCUGGGUUAACAGAUUGAACAGCUUAAUUUGAAGAGUAACAUUCCCUACUCAUGUACUCUAUAACUGAAUUUUGACAAUAAGGCCUGUUGCCCGCCCAGACUGGGAAUUAAUAGUAACUGUAGUCCCAAGAUAUCCAGAAGCCCCAGGCUGGGGAAAGAAACACAUGACACUUUUAUUGAGGGCACUAACUCCCCCAAAGUUUUUGUCCACCCUUCUUGCCCAACCUUCUAUCGUGCUGCAGAAGAUGAAAUGGGGGGGGGGGAAGGAGCAGAAACUUACCAGCCUCUCUUAUCCCAAAGAAACACCAUGUCGGACAGGAAAGCAAAGCUGCUGGUAAAGGAGUGAGAGGAGGAAGAGGAGGAGGACGACGACAACAACAGUGGAGAGGAGGCAAAUGACAGAAGAGGUGAAGGUGAAUUGAGUUUCGGAUUGUGGUAUCCAAUUUGCUGCAAGCUUUUCUCAUCACUGAAGUUUAGAUGAAAGGCAAGGACAACUGGAAGAGCAUCUCUAUCUUAAUCUCACUCCAUUCCUCAUCUGAUAAAUGAAUGCCUACUGGAGUACAAGCAAGUUCGAAGAGCAGCAAAAAGAAAGAGCAACAUCCUCACUUUUUCUGGAAGACCUGCAACUCAAGCAAAGAGCUUUUUCUGUAAGUGGGUAAGGGCAGCAUGUUGAGGAAACAGGAGAAUUUAUUCUGAUGCCUAUACAACAAGCUAAGGACUAUUAUUCUCUGGUGUCUGCAAAGCCCUUACAAAUAGGCUUAUAACUAUCGGAGCAAACAUGGGAUAAGCUGUACCUUGUAAGGUAAAGGUAAAGGUUCCUCUCGCACCUAUGUGCUAGUCAUUCCCGAGUCUAUGGGGCGGUACUCAU